UACGUAGGGGGCAAGCGUUGUCCGGAAUCAUUGGGCGUAAAGAGCGUGUAGGCGGCCCGAUAAGUCCGCUGUGAAAGUCCAGGGCUCAACCCUGGAAUGCCGGUGGAUACUGUCGGGCUCGAAUCCGGAAGAGGUGAGUGGAAUUCCUGGUGUAGCGGUGAAAUGCGCAGAUAUCAGGAAGAACACCAACGGCGAAGGCAGCUCGCUGGGACGGUACUGACGCUGAGACGCGAAAGCGUGGGGAGCGAACAGG
RNAcentral lists this ribosomal RNA (253 nucleotides) under uncultured bacterium. Its description in RNAcentral is "partial 16S ribosomal RNA". It matches the Rfam family "Bacterial small subunit ribosomal RNA", at positions 524 to 776 of the family's 1533-position model. The record is from RNAcentral.